UAAUGUCUGGGAAACUGCCUGAUGGAGGGGGAUAACUACUGGAAACGGUAGCUAAUACCGCAUAACGUCGCAAGACCAAAGAGGGGGACCUUCGGGCCUCUUGCCAUCAGAUGUGCCCAGAUGGGAUUAGCUAGUAGGUGGGGUAAUGGCUCACCUAGGCGACGAUCCCUAGCUGGUCUGAGAGGAUGACCAGCCACACUGGAACUGAGACACGGUCCAGACUCCUACGGGAGGCAGCAGUGGGGAAUAUUGCACAAUGGGCGCAAGCCUGAUGCAGCCAUGCCGCGU
RNAcentral lists this ribosomal RNA (288 nucleotides) under uncultured Enterobacteriaceae bacterium. RNAcentral describes it as "partial 16S ribosomal RNA". It matches the Rfam family "Bacterial small subunit ribosomal RNA", at positions 111 to 402 of the family's 1533-position model. The record is from RNAcentral. Lineage: Bacteria; Pseudomonadati; Pseudomonadota; Gammaproteobacteria; Enterobacterales; Enterobacteriaceae.